Molecule: ribosomal RNA, 1351 nt
Filed under: uncultured marine eukaryote
Lineage: Eukaryota
Description: SSU rRNA
Rfam family: Eukaryotic small subunit ribosomal RNA
Source: RNAcentral
CACUUCUAAGGAAGGCAGCAGGCGCGCAAAUUACCCAAUCCUGACUCAGGGAGGUAGUGACAAGAAAUAACAAUAAACCGGCUUAUGCCGGUUUAAUUGGAAUGAGUACAAUUUAAACAUCUUAACGAGGAACAAUUGGAGGGCAAGUCUGGUGCCAGCAGCCGCGGUAAUUCCAGCUCCAAUAGCGUAUACUAAAGUUGUUGCAGUUAAAAAGCUCGUAGUUGGAUUUCUGUGGGGACGGAGCGGCCGGCCGCAACUCGCGGUUCGAGCUAGCGCUUUCCCUACAUCCUGCCGCGAACCGUGCUACCAUUAGUUUGGUGGCGCCGGGGAUCGGCUCGAUUACUUUGAGAAAAAUAGAGUGUUCAAAGCAGGCCACACGCCUUGAAUAAGUUAGCAUGGAAUAAUAACUAAGGACUUCGGUUCUAUUUUGUUGGUGUUCGGGACUGAAGUAAUGAUUGAUAGGGACAGUUGGGGCGGUCUGUAUUCCAAAGCGAGAGGUGAAAUUCUUAGACCUUCGGAAGACAAACAGCUGCGAAAGCGUUCCGCAAGGAUGUUCCCUUUGAUCAAGAGCGAAAGUUGGGGGAUCGAAGACGAUCAGAUACCGUCGUAGUCUCAACUAUAAACUAUACCAGCUAGGGAUCGGCCAACGUUAUUUAAACCGACUUGGUCGGCACCUUAUGAGAAAUCAAAGCAUCUGGGUUCCGGGGGGAGUAUGGUCGCAAGGCUGAAACUUAAAGGAAUUGACGGAAGGGCACCACCAGCCGUGGAGCCUGUGGCUUAAUUUGACUCAACACGGGAAAACUUACCAGGUCCAGACAUAGUAAGGAUUGACAGAUUGAUAGCUCUUUCUUGAUUCUGUGGGUGGUGGUGCAUGGCCGUUCUUAGUUGGUGGAGUGAUUUGUCUGGUUAAUUCCGUUAACGAACGAGACCCCAGCCUGCUAAAUAGCGCGUGUGAGCUUUGCUCGCAGCGAGCUUCUUAGAGGGACUAUGAUGCGCGAUAGCACAUGGAAGUUUGGGGCAAUAACAGGUCUGUGAUGCCCUUAGAUGUUCUGGGCCGCACACGGGCUACACUGGCGCCUGCAACGAGCAUAUCAGCUGGCCCGAGAGGGUCUUGGCUAAUCUUUUGAACCGGCGCCGUGCUUGGGAUUGACCUUUGCAAUUGUUGGUCAUGCAACGAGGAAUGCCUUGUAAACGCGAGUCAUCAGCUCGCAUUGAAUACGUCCCUGCCCUUUGUACACACCGCCUGUCGCUCCUACCGAUGAAUGUUCCGAUGAAAUUUUCGGAGAGUGCCUGUGAACUUGGCUCUGCCUUGCGAACGGGAAGCUCAAAGUCACUUAAAUCUGAACAUUUC